Molecule: ribosomal RNA, 433 nt
Filed under: uncultured bacterium
Lineage: Bacteria
Description: partial 16S ribosomal RNA
Rfam family: Bacterial small subunit ribosomal RNA
Source: RNAcentral
AACGAACGCUGGCGGCAUGCCUAACACAUGCAAGUCGAACGAGACCUUCGGGUCUAGUGGCGCACGGGUGCGUAACGCGUGGGAACCUGCCCUUAGGUUCGGAAUAACUCCCCGAAAGGGGUGCUAAUACCGGAUAAUGUCUUCGGACCAAAGAUUUAUCGCCUUUGGAUGGGCCCGCGUUGGAUUAGCUAGUUGGUAGGGUAAAAGCCUACCAAGGCGACGAUCCAUAGCUGGUCUGAUAGAAUGAUCAGCCACACUGGGACUGAGACACGGACCAGACUCCUACGGGAGGCAGCAGUGGGGAAUAUUGGACAAUGGGCGAAAGCCUGAUCCAGCAAUGCCGCGUGAGUGAUGAAGGCCUUAGGGUUGUAAAGCUCUUUUACCCGGGAUGAUAAUGACAGUACCGGGAGAAUAAGCUCCGGCUAACUCCGUG